AAAUUGAAGAGUUUGAUCAUGGCUCAGAUUGAACGCUGGCGGCAGGCCUAACACAUGCAAGUCGAACGGUAACAGGAAGAAGCUUGCUUCUUUGCUGACGAGUGGCGGACGGGUGAGUAAUGUCUGGGAAACUGCCUGAUGGAGGGGGAUAACUACUGGAAACGGUAGCUAAUACCGCAUAACGUCGCAAGACCAAAGAGGGGGACCUUCGGGCCUCUUGCCAUCGGAUGUGCCCAGAUGGGAUUAGCUAGUAGGUGGGGUAACGGCUCACCUAGGCGACGAUCCCUAGCUGGUCUGAGAGGAUGACCAGCCACACUGGAACUGAGACACGGUCCAGACUCCUACGGGAGGCAGCAGUGGGGAAUAUUGCACAAUGGGCGCAAGCCUGAUGCAGCCAUGCCGCGUGUAUGAAGAAGGCCUUCGGGUUGUAAAGUACUUUCAGCGGGGAGGAAGGGAGUAAAGUUAAUACCUUUGCUCAUUGACGUUACCCGCAGAAGAAGCACCGGCUAACUCCGUGCCAGCAGCCGCGGUAAUACGGAGGGUGCAAGCGUUAAUCGGAAUUACUGGGCGUAAAGCGCACGCAGGCGGUUUGUUAAGUCAGAUGUGAAAUCCCCGGGCUCAACCUGGGAACUGCAUCUGAUACUGGCAAGCUUGAGUCUCGUAGAGGGGGGUAGAAUUCCAGGUGUAGCGGUGAAAUGCGUAGAGAUCUGGAGGAAUACCGGUGGCGAAGGCGGCCCCCUGGACGAAGACUGACGCUCAGGUGCGAAAGCGUGGGGAGCAAACAGGAUUAGAUACCCUGGUAGUCCACGCCGUAAACGAUGUCGACUUGGAGGUUGUGCCCUUGAGGCGUGGCUUCCGGAGCUAACGCGUUAAGUCGACCGCCUGGGGAGUACGGCCGCAAGGUUAAAACUCAAAUGAAUUGACGGGGGCCCGCACAAGCGGUGGAGCAUGUGGUUUAAUUCGAUGCAACGCGAAGAACCUUACCUGGUCUUGACAUCCACGGAAGUUUUCAGAGAUGAGAAUGUGCCUUCGGGAACCGUGAGACAGGUGCUGCAUGGCUGUCGUCAGCUCGUGUUGUGAAAUGUUGGGUUAAGUCCCGCAACGAGCGCAACCCUUAUCCUUUGUUGCCAGCGGUCCGGCCGGGAACUCAAAGGAGACUGCCAGUGAUAAACUGGAGGAAGGUGGGGAUGACGUCAAGUCAUCAUGGCCCUUACGACCAGGGCUACACACGUGCUACAAUGGCGCAUACAAAGAGAAGCGACCUCGCGAGAGCAAGCGGACCUCAUAAAGUGCGUCGUAGUCCGGAUUGGAGUCUGCAACUCGACUCCAUGAAGUCGGAAUCGCUAGUAAUCGUGGAUCAGAAUGCCACGGUGAAUACGUUCCCGGGCCUUGUACACACCGCCCGUCACACCAUGGGAGUGGGUUGCAAAAGAAGUAGGUAGCUUAACCGGUCAACAGCCGUUUGAGCUAACCGGUACUAAUGAACCGUGAGGCUUAACCUUGAGAGGUUAAGCGACUAAGCGUACACGGUGGAUGCCCUGGCAGUCAGAGGCGAUGAAGGACGUGCUAAUCUGCGAUAAGCGUCGGUAAGGUGAUAUGAACCGUUAUAACCGGCGAUUUCCGAAUGGGGAAACCCAGUGUGUUUCGACACACUAUCAUUAACUGAAUCCAUAGGUUAAUGAGGCGAACCGGGGGAACUGAAACAUCUAAGUACCCCGAGGAAAAGAAAUCAACCGAGAUUCCCCCAGUAGCGGCGAGCGAACGGGGAGCAGCCCAGAGCCUGAAUCAGUGUGUGUGUUAGUGGAAGCGUCUGGAAAGGCGCGCGAUACAGGGUGACAGCCCCGUACACAAAAAUGCACAUGCUGUGAGCUCGAUGAGUAGGGCGGGACACGUGGUAUCCUGUCUGAAUAUGGGGGGACCAUCCUCCAAGGCUAAAUACUCCUGACUGACCGAUAGUGAACCAGUACCGUGAGGGAAAGGCGAAAAGAACCCCGGCGAGGGGAGUGAAAAAGAACCUGAAACCGUGUACGUACAAGCAGUGGGAGCACGCUUAGGCGUGUGACUGCGUACCUUUUGUAUAAUGGGUCAGCGACUUAUAUUCUGUAGCAAGGUUAACCGAAUAGGGGAGCCGAAGGGAAACCGAGUCUUAACUGGGCGUUAAGUUGCAGGGUAUAGACCCGAAACCCGGUGAUCUAGCCAUGGGCAGGUUGAAGGUUGGGUAACACUAACUGGAGGACCGAACCGACUAAUGUUGAAAAAUUAGCGGAUGACUUGUGGCUGGGGGUGAAAGGCCAAUCAAACCGGGAGAUAGCUGGUUCUCCCCGAAAGCUAUUUAGGUAGCGCCUCGUGAAUUCAUCUCCGGGGGUAGAGCACUGUUUCGGCAAGGGGGUCAUCCCGACUUACCAACCCGAUGCAAACUGCGAAUACCGGAGAAUGUUAUCACGGGAGACACACGGCGGGUGCUAACGUCCGUCGUGAAGAGGGAAACAACCCAGACCGCCAGCUAAGGUCCCAAAGUCAUGGUUAAGUGGGAAACGAUGUGGGAAGGCCCAGACAGCCAGGAUGUUGGCUUAGAAGCAGCCAUCAUUUAAAGAAAGCGUAAUAGCUCACUGGUCGAGUCGGCCUGCGCGGAAGAUGUAACGGGGCUAAACCAUGCACCGAAGCUGCGGCAGCGACGCUUAUGCGUUGUUGGGUAGGGGAGCGUUCUGUAAGCCUGCGAAGGUGUGCUGUGAGGCAUGCUGGAGGUAUCAGAAGUGCGAAUGCUGACAUAAGUAACGAUAAAGCGGGUGAAAAGCCCGCUCGCCGGAAGACCAAGGGUUCCUGUCCAACGUUAAUCGGGGCAGGGUGAGUCGACCCCUAAGGCGAGGCCGAAAGGCGUAGUCGAUGGGAAACAGGUUAAUAUUCCUGUACUUGGUGUUACUGCGAAGGGGGGACGGAGAAGGCUAUGUUGGCCGGGCGACGGUUGUCCCGGUUUAAGCGUGUAGGCUGGUUUUCCAGGCAAAUCCGGAAAAUCAAGGCUGAGGCGUGAUGACGAGGCACUACGGUGCUGAAGCAACAAAUGCCCUGCUUCCAGGAAAAGCCUCUAAGCAUCAGGUAACAUCAAAUCGUACCCCAAACCGACACAGGUGGUCAGGUAGAGAAUACCAAGGCGCUUGAGAGAACUCGGGUGAAGGAACUAGGCAAAAUGGUGCCGUAACUUCGGGAGAAGGCACGCUGAUAUGUAGGUGAGGUCCCUCGCGGAUGGAGCUGAAAUCAGUCGAAGAUACCAGCUGGCUGCAACUGUUUAUUAAAAACACAGCACUGUGCAAACACGAAAGUGGACGUAUACGGUGUGACGCCUGCCCGGUGCCGGAAGGUUAAUUGAUGGGGUUAGCGCAAGCGAAGCUCUUGAUCGAAGCCCCGGUAAACGGCGGCCGUAACUAUAACGGUCCUAAGGUAGCGAAAUUCCUUGUCGGGUAAGUUCCGACCUGCACGAAUGGCGUAAUGAUGGCCAGGCUGUCUCCACCCGAGACUCAGUGAAAUUGAACUCGCUGUGAAGAUGCAGUGUACCCGCGGCAAGACGGAAAGACCCCGUGAACCUUUACUAUAGCUUGACACUGAACAUUGAGCCUUGAUGUGUAGGAUAGGUGGGAGGCUUUGAAGUGUGGACGCCAGUCUGCAUGGAGCCGACCUUGAAAUACCACCCUUUAAUGUUUGAUGUUCUAACGUUGACCCGUAAUCCGGGUUGCGGACAGUGUCUGGUGGGUAGUUUGACUGGGGCGGUCUCCUCCUAAAGAGUAACGGAGGAGCACGAAGGUUGGCUAAUCCUGGUCGGACAUCAGGAGGUUAGUGCAAUGGCAUAAGCCAGCUUGACUGCGAGCGUGACGGCGCGAGCAGGUGCGAAAGCAGGUCAUAGUGAUCCGGUGGUUCUGAAUGGAAGGGCCAUCGCUCAACGGAUAAAAGGUACUCCGGGGAUAACAGGCUGAUACCGCCCAAGAGUUCAUAUCGACGGCGGUGUUUGGCACCUCGAUGUCGGCUCAUCACAUCCUGGGGCUGAAGUAGGUCCCAAGGGUAUGGCUGUUCGCCAUUUAAAGUGGUACGCGAGCUGGGUUUAGAACGUCGUGAGACAGUUCGGUCCCUAUCUGCCGUGGGCGCUGGAGAACUGAGGGGGGCUGCUCCUAGUACGAGAGGACCGGAGUGGACGCAUCACUGGUGUUCGGGUUGUCAUGCCAAUGGCACUGCCCGGUAGCUAAAUGCGGAAGAGAUAAGUGCUGAAAGCAUCUAAGCACGAAACUUGCCCCGAGAUGAGUUCUCCCUGACCCUUUAAGGGUCCUGAAGGAACGUUGAAGACGACGACGUUGAUAGGCCGGGUGUGUAAACGGACAUGGUUGGAGGGCGCUUACCACUUUGUGAUUCAUGACUGGGGUGAAGUCGUAACAAGGUAACCGUAGGGGAACCUGCGGUUGGAUCACCUCCUUA
RNAcentral lists this ribosomal RNA (4458 nucleotides) under Escherichia coli. RNAcentral describes it as "stapled 16S-23S rRNA,stapled 16S-23S rRNA,stapled 16S-23S rRNA,stapled 16S-23S r... from Escherichia coli (PDB 6HRM, chain 1)". The stretch from base 1507 to 4403 matches the Rfam family "Bacterial large subunit ribosomal RNA". The record is from RNAcentral. Lineage: Bacteria; Pseudomonadati; Pseudomonadota; Gammaproteobacteria; Enterobacterales; Enterobacteriaceae.